Molecule: ribosomal RNA, 253 nt
Filed under: uncultured bacterium
Lineage: Bacteria
Description: partial 16S ribosomal RNA
Rfam family: Bacterial small subunit ribosomal RNA
Source: RNAcentral
UACGGAGGGCGCGAGCGUUAAUCGGAAUUACUGGGCGUAAAGCGCGCGUAGGCUGUUGUGUAAGUUGGGGGUGAAAUCCCACGGCUCAACCGUGGAACAGCCCUUGAUACUGCGCGACUUGAAUCCGGGAGAGGGUGGCGGAAUUCCAGGUGUAGGAGUGAGAUCCGUAGAUAUCUGGAGGAACAUCAGUGGCGAAGGCGGCCACCUGGACCGGUAUUGACGCUGAGGCGCAAAAGCGUGGGGAGCAAACAGG